This 1014-nucleotide unclassified non-coding RNA is filed under the name Hevea brasiliensis (rubber tree). The record is from RNAcentral. Lineage: Eukaryota; Viridiplantae; Streptophyta; Magnoliopsida; Malpighiales; Euphorbiaceae.
UUAUCUUUCAGAUUGGUCCACAAAGGACACCUCAGGUUUCCUCGGAAGAACUACUUUCUACUUUGGAUGGUUGAGGGCAUGAAUGGUGAUAGGUCAAAGUCAUAUUUCUCNNNNGGAUCAUCAGCCUGUUUCUUCUUCAAAAAGAAAUCAAGCCAUGGGCAAUCAAGUUACCCAUAUGAGCAACAGGCGAGCCUCAUAUCCUUGUCCUCCAGAACAAGCAGCAUCUAACCAUGACGAAGGUCGCCUUAACAUUAGAUACUUCAAUGCUGAGAGACUUCAGUUAUCCUUUAGCUGUCAAGUGAACAAAGAAAACCAACGAGUUUCCAUUGAUUGUCAUAUUUCUUCUGAUUGUUUUGUAUGCAAUACCGGCCAGUGCAGCCAUCUUGUCACUCUACAUCCUUAUCACCUUUGUAUUUGCUCUCCCUUCUUUUCUUAUCUUGUACUUUGCCUUACCCAGUCUGGAUUGGUUGGUUAGAGAAAUCAUCACUUGAGUUACCAUUCUCCUACAUGCCCGAUGUCACAAAUGGGUGGCAUUUCUCUUAUUGCCAGUCCAGUUACAUAGUGCAAUUUGACGACUUUACCUCUAUUAGAUGCUGACCAGCUUCGUGGUUUUACAAACCAUGGAGCUCAACUUGAAGUUCUUCAAUCAAAUCACCUCCUUAUCAAACAUAUUUUAGCAUGCGGCAAAUAAGUUGAUUUCAGAUGUUACAUUGGUCUUGAGAACGCUGUUCUUUUGUAAUUCCAAAAUUUUGGGGAGCAAUCAAUGAUCUGUAGUAGAAAUAUAAUGAAGACGUACGGGUAUUAUUCUGCUGCAGUGUACAUUUAGGCGCCAGAAAGCUCUUGCAAGAAGACUAAUAUGUAGAAGAUUGUCCCUGUUUUGUGUGUCGAGGGUAAUGACCUUUUCAGUACUUUGCUACUAUAUUUUGGAUCUUUGAUGGACUGUACAUUGAAUGCUCCUAUUUUGCCUUUUUUCUAUGGAAAAGGAAUUGCAUAGUUUCACUUGCAUACCAUAAC